Molecule: ribosomal RNA, 253 nt
Filed under: uncultured bacterium
Lineage: Bacteria
Description: partial 16S ribosomal RNA
Rfam family: Bacterial small subunit ribosomal RNA
Source: RNAcentral
CACGUAGGGUGCGAGCGUUGUCCGGAAUUAUUGGGCGUAAAGAGCUCGUAGGCGGCUCGUUGCGUCGGCUGUGAAAACCCGCAGCUCAACUGUGGGCUUGCAGCUGAUACGGGCGGGCUGGAGUUCGGUAGGGGAGACUGGAAUUCCUGGUGUAGCGGUGAAAUGCGCAGAUAUCAGGAGGAACACCGGUGGCGAAGGCGGGUCUCUGGGCCGAUACUGACGCUGAGGAGCGAAAGCGUGGGGAGCGAACAGG